Long non-coding RNA from Nothobranchius furzeri (turquoise killifish), 3191 nucleotides. NCBI's taxonomy places the organism in Eukaryota, Metazoa, Chordata, Actinopteri, Cyprinodontiformes, Nothobranchiidae. The record is from Ensembl.
AUGCAAAUGACAGUUGGUGUGUGUGUGGAUGCGAAUAAGUAUUUGUUGUUGUCAUGGUUCUGCCUUCUCUCUGCUUCUGCUGCUAUUUUCCCUUCAUUGUUUGCAGGUGAGCGUGUUGGGGAGCAGCAGCUGCAGCUAAUUGCCAUCAGCCUGGCCAGAGGAUUUAAGGAGCGGUGCUGCCACACCUCAUCGCCGGUUGAUACUCUACUGUUGGCCCUGGAUUCCCUCCAUCCGCAUGAGGUGUGUUUUAUCACAGCGUCGUUCAGCUUCCCUGGCCUCCUGCUCUCCACCGCUCACCUGCCUUCCUGGACCCAGCAUCUUCUCCAGCGACCAUCUCCUCCCAGCAUCAACCUGACUUGCCUCUCCCUCCUGCCCCUCGUCCUGCUCAACUCAGUAAGCCUGUUCCUCUCAUUAUUAUACAUUUCCUGGUUCUCAGUUUCUAAUCACUCUCACCGUUGUUCUUCUUAGAGUCGGAGUUGCCUCGUUUCCUGUCCCGUUUGGAUCAGCGCCCUUAGUUUUUGCUUUGUUUCUUUCUAAAAUAAAGAUAUUUUAUUAUCAUCUCUUACCUUAUUCCUGAGUGAUUCUUCAUGUGAGUUAAGAAAUUACCACCCAUCAUGACAGUUGUGGCAGAAGAAGAAAGGGGGUCUUGAGAGCUAAACAUGUAUGUGGGAUCGAAAUAAACAAGCCAUAAAAGAAAUGGACUAAUCUGAAUUCACUAAUCGGGCUUAGCACAAAAGUCAGCCAGAUGAGAUGCUUCAAAGACCUGCUUUCCGACGCCGGGAGGUUGGCCAGCGGCUCUAACAGCCUUGGGUUCCUGGCUCGUGGCCUUUUUGGGUUAAAUGAUUCUGGCUCCCUGAUAAGUCAACAUCGGUCGUGGAAAGGGGAGGGUGUGGUAAUCCUCGAUCGUGGCUUGACUUUUCGGUUCCUGGUUCCUUCACCUCUGUGGCCUUGAAACGUGGAAUUCAGAUUGCGGGCCCAAAUUAUCCCAAACGGAGCCGAAUCAUCAACUGUUCCAAAUUGCUUUUACUCUUAAUGUGAGAAGUCUACCGAACACGCAGACUUCCGGUUAUACAUAGGAAGUCAAAACAAAACAAACGGAGUUGCUUCUAAGUUUUGCCGUAACUUUUGAAAGCUAAUUACUUGACAACUGUAAAGCGCCAGGUUCUGCUGUUGCUGGGCCAAGAUUGAAAAGCCCAGCAGAGGUUUGCUUAAGGCAUCUUUCUUCUUUGUUCUUACUCUGCGACACGUAUGCAAUGUGGCUUUAUAACCUUCUUGGUCACACCCACUUGUAUUUCACUCAUUAACCACUGGACAUUGGAUGGCACUGAGGCUCUUUCAAAUAAACUCUACCUUCUCAAAGAUGGAAAGUCCAUGAUCACAAUUUAACAGUUAUUCAUAUAAUACCUCAAAAGUAUUACUUUAGCAUCAAAGUAUUACUUUAAACAGGAAAUAAUAAAAUUCAUGUCUUAAAACUGAACAAUUUUACCAUUAGCAUGAAUUUUAACUGGAGAAGCAAAAAUUGGCAGAGGUUUAACAUAAAAGAAAAAACGCAAAACAAGCAGGUUUGUAACUGAUAAGAGUUUAAACAUAUACUUGGAGCACCUUGAAAUUUAAUGGUGAACAAACCUAAAACACCUUCUUUGAUUGUAGAUAAACAGGAAUGCAAGGUUUAUAAAGACUCAGGUCUUGAAGCUCCCAGGAGGACCUAAAAGAAGUUUUACAACUUCCCCUAUCUUGAGAAAAGGGGUCAGUCUGAGGUUGAUGUAAAACAGACUAGUUUUCUGAUAUUACUUGCGCCCCCUGAUUGGCGUAGAAGGGAGGCCAGUCAAAUUGGUGCAAUUUACAAUCCUGGGAGAGAGUCGUAGGAGGUAACCAGAAUGCUGGAACUGCGGGCCAGUUUCAAAUUCCCCUUUUUGUUUUUUUUCUGCUAAAUAAGAGAAGAAAAACUUUGUGAAAAUUCUUAUGCUCUCCUUCGUGUAAAUCCAAACAAAGUUAAUCUGAGGAUAUAAAAUGUGGAUUUCCACUACAAUUGUGACCUUUUAAACUUGUUUAAAGAUAUUUCAAUACAUUAAAUAACAAAUUGAGUAAAGUAAAAUGAAAACAGAAAUAACAUUUAUGGGAAUGUCACAUGAACGUUAGUAUCUCUGUGUCCCUCGUGCUGCAUAGUCCUGGAAACCCAAGCUUCCUUUGAAUUCAUUGUUUUUAGUGGUUGAAGGUUACAGUAAUGGCAUAUUUCCUAUGUGUGUUCACCGGUAAUCAUUUUUGCUUCUUCUUUUUCUCUAAGUGUGUGUGCUGCUGUAACAAGUGAAUUUCCCCACUGUGAAAAUAACAAUAUGUGUUCUAUUCUAUUCUAUUCUAUUCUAUUUAAAGGGUUCUCUGAUAAACAUCUGAUUUGAAUAUGGUUUGGCUAUUAAGAGAUGCUGAGGGAAGAAAUCCAACACAAUACUGAAGAAUCCUAGCUUAUUGCCUUUGUGUGUUUACCUAUAAUUGUGUUUCAUCUUCCUUUUCUUCAAGUGUUCGCUGUAGCAAGUGAAUUCCCCCAAUCUGGGAUUAUUAAGUCUAAUCUAUUCUAACCAUAACUAAAAAAUAAUUCAACCCAUGUCUCUAAAACCAACUAGCAGAGCUCUGUAACAUCGUAAAAAAGUGAGGACCAGAAAAAAUGUCCUCAUUUUGCAACUGUAACGUACCAAAAGGGUACAUUUUCACCAUCUAAUUGACCAGCAUAAUAACCUUUUAUCUACAUUCGUAAACCCACUAUCUAUCAGGCCUCCAAAUCCAGAAGGUUCUGCUCAGUGCUUGUUUACAUACAAGAAGACACAACAUUCAAACAGACAUUCUCACCCAAGGUCCGGUGUCGGUACAAGAUCUGCUCGGGUGCAAAAUCGGCUCGGGGUCCGUCGACUGCCGGUGACGUCAGAGUAGUUGAUUGGCUGAACAUGAACCUUACGGAAUUACGUAAUCACGUUACGUCGUUAUCACGUUACGUUGGUCCAGGCAAAUUUUUCUGUUGGAAAGAUGGACAACUUUUACAAAGAAAUCCAUCAUUACCUCUUUAAAAAUACACUUUUAGCAUAGAGCUGCAUGUAUAUUAGGGCUGAACGAUUAACUGCAUAUGCAAUUAAAUUGCGAUGUGACAAAAGGAGAUUUUCUAAUCGCAAAGGCUGCAAUUUGGCAGCGAGUGGUUAGCGCAA